Molecule: transfer RNA, 74 nt
Filed under: candidate division MSBL1 archaeon SCGC-AAA261C02
Lineage: Archaea; Methanobacteriati; Methanobacteriota
Description: candidate divison MSBL1 archaeon SCGC-AAA261C02 tRNA
Rfam family: tRNA
About the family: Transfer RNA (tRNA) molecules are approximately 80 nucleotides in length.
Source: Rfam by way of RNAcentral
GGGCCGGUGGUCCAGUCAGGAUAAGACGCAGGCUUGCGGAGCCUGUAACCGGGGUUCAAAUCCCCGCCGGCCCG